AUUGAACGCUGGCGGCAGGCUUAACACAUGCAAGUCGAGCGGGGGAAGGUAGCUUGCUACCGGACCUAGCGGCGGACGGGUGAGUAAUGCUUAGGAAUCUGCCUAUUAGUGGGGGACAACAUCUCGAAAGGAUGCUAAUACCGCAUACGUCCUACGGGAGAAAGCAGGGGAUCUUCGGACCUUGCGCUAAUAGAUGAGCCUAAGUCGGAUUAGCUAGUUGGUGGGGUAAAGGCCUACCAAGGCGACGAUCUGUAGCGGGUCUGAGAGGAUGAUCCGCCACACUGGGACUGAGACACGGCCCAGACUCCUACGGGAGGCAGCAGUGGGGAAUAUUGGACAAUGGGGGGAACCCUGAUCCAGCCAUGCCACGUGUGUGAAGAAGGCCUUAUGGUUGUAAAGCACUUUAAGCGAGGAGGAGGCUGCUUUAGUUAAUACCUAGAGAUAGUGGACGUUACUCGCAGAAUAAGCACCGGCUAACUCUGUGCCAGCAGCCGCCGUAA
Molecule: ribosomal RNA, 500 nt
Filed under: uncultured bacterium
Lineage: Bacteria
Description: partial 16S ribosomal RNA
Rfam family: Bacterial small subunit ribosomal RNA
Source: RNAcentral